Molecule: non-coding RNA, 283 nt
Organism: Ciona intestinalis (vase tunicate)
Lineage: Eukaryota; Metazoa; Chordata; Ascidiacea; Phlebobranchia; Cionidae
Source: RefSeq, a predicted model, not a curated record
CACAAUUGGCAUUAUUACGUACAUAAGCUCUUUUCAGAAACACUGAUAUGUGACAUCACGAAGUGGUGAUGACGCAACAGAAGAACCCACUUCAACAUGGUAUGUGACGUCACCAGAGGAUCAAGCGGGUCGUGACACGUAGGAAGAAUGAAGGAAUGUCAGCGAAUAAAGCUACAUAAGAAAAGUGCAAGACCAAAGACGAAGACGCCGAUUAAGGAUACACGGUUUGAGGUUUUAGGUUCAUAAGUAUGAGUUGUGUGUUGUAUGUGUCUGUAUGAGAUUC